AGAAUCAACGCUGGCGGCGUGCCUAACACAUGCAAGUCGAACGAGAAAGUGGAGCAAUCCAUGAGUAAAGUGGCGCACGGGUGAGUAACACGUGACUAACCUACCCUUGAGUGGGGGAUAACCUCGGGAAACCGGGGCUAAUACCGCAUAAUAUCGAGAGAUCAAAGGAGCAAUUCGCUUAAGGAGGGGGUCGCGGCUGAUUAGCUAGUUGGUAGGGUAAUGGCCUACCAAGGCUAUGAUCAGUAUCCGGCCUGAGAGGGCGCACGGACACACUGGAACUGAAACACGGUCCAGACUCCUACGGGAGGCAGCAGUGGGAAUUUUGCGCAAUGGGGGAAACCCUGACGCAGCAACGCCGCGUGGAGGAUGAAGUCCCUUGGGACGUAAACUCCUUUCGAUCGGGACGAUAAUGACGGUACCGGAAGAAGAAGCCCGGCUAACUUCGCGCCAGCAGCCGC
RNAcentral lists this ribosomal RNA (458 nucleotides) under uncultured bacterium. Its description in RNAcentral is "SSU rRNA". It matches the Rfam family "Bacterial small subunit ribosomal RNA", at positions 26 to 518 of the family's 1533-position model. The record is from RNAcentral.